AUCAUUGGUCGUAAGGGCGCGCUAGACUGCCUCUAAGUUCUGACUUGAAGCCCCCGGCUCAGCGGGAGGUCAUCGAAACUGGCAGGCCUUGAGUAUGGAGAGACAGUGAACUCCACCGUCUAGCGGUGAAAUGCGUAGAGAUCUGGAGGUAUCACCAGUGGUGAUGCGACUCUUUGGCCUAUACUGUCGCUGAGGCGCGAAAGCGUGGCGCAGCUAACCAGGAUGAGAUACCCUGGUAGUCCCGCUGUAACCGAUGAGUGCUAGGUGUCGGUAGGGUUUCCGCCCUUCAGUGCUGAAGCUAUCGCAUUAAGCCUCCCGCCUGGGAGUACGGUCGCAAGGCUGAACUCAAAGGAAUUGACGCGGCCCCGCACAAGCGGUGGAGCAUGUGGUUUAAUUCGAAGCACCGCGAAGACCCUUACCAACUCUUGACAUCCCCCUGACCGGUUCAGAGAUGUACCUUACCCUUCGGGGGCAGGGUGACAGGUGGUGCAUGGUUGUCGUCAGCUCGUGUCGUGAGAUGUUGGGUUAAGUCCCGCAACGAGCGCAACCCUUGUCCUUAGUUGCCAGCAUUUAGUUGGGCACUCUAGGGAGACUGCCGGUGACAACCCGGAGGAAGGUGGGGAUGACGUCAAAUCAUCAUGCCCCUUAUGAGUUGGGCUACACACGUGCUACAAUGGACGGUACAAAGGGCAGCGAAGCCGCGAGGUGGAGCCAAUCCCAGAAAGCCGUUCUCAGUUCGGAUUGCAGGCUGCAACUCGCCUGCAUGAAGUCGGAAUCGCUAGUAAUCGCAGGUCAGCAUACUGCGGUGAAUACGUUCCCGGGUCUUGUACACUCCGCCCGUCACACCACGAGAGUUGCAACACCCGAAGUCGGUGAGGUAUCCGUAAGUAGCCA
Molecule: ribosomal RNA, 894 nt
Filed under: Exiguobacterium profundum
Lineage: Bacteria; Bacillati; Bacillota; Bacilli; Caryophanales
Description: bacterial SSU rRNA
Rfam family: Bacterial small subunit ribosomal RNA
Source: RNAcentral